RNAcentral lists this ribosomal RNA (469 nucleotides) under uncultured bacterium. RNAcentral's name for it is "bacterial SSU rRNA". It matches the Rfam family "Bacterial small subunit ribosomal RNA", at positions 330 to 792 of the family's 1533-position model. The record is from RNAcentral.
CCCAGACUCCUACGGGAGGCAGCAGUGGGGAAUCUUCCGCAAUGGGCGAAAGCCUGACGGAGCAACGCCGCGUGAUCGAAUGAAGGCCUUCGGGUUGUAAAGAUCUGUUGACAGGGACGAAUAGGCAAUGCGAAUAGUUUUGUGUAUGACGGUACCUGUUUAGAAAGCUCCGGCUAACUACGUGCCAGCAGCCGCGGUAAUACGUAGGGAGCAAGCGUUGUCCGGAAUUACUGGGCGUAAAGGGCGCGUAGGUGGGCGCUUAAGUCAGGUGUGAAAACUCCGGGCUCAACCUGGAGACUGCACUUGAAACUGCAUGGCUGGAGUGCGGGAGGGGCAGGCGGAAUUCCUGGUGUAGCGGUGAAAUGCGUAGAUAUCAGGAGGAACACCGGCGGCGAAGGCGGCCUGCUGGACCGCGACUGACGUUGAGGCUCGAAAGCGUGGGGAGCGAACAGGAUUAGAUACCCGAGUA